This 57-nucleotide microRNA precursor is filed under the name Heligmosomoides polygyrus. Its description in RNAcentral is "microRNA hpo-mir-233 precursor". Its record names the gene hpo-mir-233. The record is from miRBase by way of RNAcentral. Lineage: Eukaryota; Metazoa; Nematoda; Chromadorea; Rhabditida; Heligmosomidae.
CUGUACAUGUCGUGCUUCAAUACCACGGGUGAUAUUGAGCAACGAAUAUGUGCGGGA